Molecule: long non-coding RNA, 226 nt
Filed under: Physcomitrium patens
Lineage: Eukaryota; Viridiplantae; Streptophyta; Bryopsida; Funariales; Funariaceae
Description: long non-coding RNA (PPAT_LNC000192)
Source: RNAcentral
AAUACUACGAUGCUUUCUUCCACUAAUAAUACUCCUUCAUCAACUAAUAAUAAUAAAGUGUAACCCUGCACUCUCAAAAGACCACUCAAAACACAUAAAUUCCAUCCAAUACCAGAAAUAACAAACUUCUACUCCAAUCAAUCUAACUUCAUACAAUUUCUAAAAUCACGGAUUUUCUCUGUUGAAAUACACACAACUCUCAAUAAACAACAAUCAUAAUCUUUCA